UCGCGUCAACGCGGGGGAGUUUUAAUCACAAUUUCACGCGCGCCUUUCCAUUUUGAGGGUUUGAAAACAAAUCAAUUCGUGUUUAAUAGGCGGCCAUACUCGUUUUCUGAGUUUAUGCUUAGCAUUAUCUAUGGUAAAUUUCCCAAAGGCGCCGGAUGCAGUUUGCAUUAUUAGGAUUUAGAGAAAAUAAAGUCGUAGUAUCAGAAAUUAAUGAAAAAAAAUACUUGAAGUGUGUGUUAGAAUGACGUAAGCGAGGGUAAAUAAUGGAAAUUCUACGAACAUGAGAAACCGCUGAAAGGUACUGCCUGUACAAGAUCUGGCACCAGGUAUCAUAAGAAACAGGAACGUCAGCAUUGGGCAAACGAGAAGGACACGUUAAACUAACAAAAUGUUUAUUUGUUCUCGCAUUUUUUUUAAAUUAUGCACCAAAAAAUCUGUUAUAUAACGCUUAACUUUUUUUUAUUAACCCCGUUAUAUAUUUUUCAUCAAAAUGACGGUUGUUGACUUAUUACAUUUGUAAUAUUUUUUAGGGUCAAUAAGCGCUUUAUUCAGAGAAGUUCCAAGGGAUCUUGCAAAAGUUUAUGUGCUCCUUAAUUACAUUUAAUGUAUUUUGAAUUUUAUCAAAGCACUUGAACGAUAGAUUCGAUGUAACAACAGAUAAAGAUCGCGAUACACAGAUUUUCACACUUGAAUCCACAAAAUCGAAUAAGUAGAUUGGCGUUUGUGUUGCGAUAAAAUAAAAAUUAAAAACAUAUUUUCGUUAUCGAUUCACAGGCCGUUUAAUUAUUUAUUCUUCUGAUUUUUCCUCUCGUGCCUUAUUUAAUAUGGUUACAAUAGCUACGGUAAUGUUUCGUCCUCGCUCUCGGGAACACGAUUUUCUCUCGCCUUCCGUGGUGUUUAAACGUCACUCACGCCCCUCUUGCUAAAUUUUCCGUCACACUAAAGAAUAAUUUUAUCAAGAACAUCUGUGGCUUAACCAGACUAGCCCUAACCUCAAUUUGCUCUCGAAGUGAUGGGGAUGUUUUCAAAUUUUAAGCAAUUAUCGUGGUAAGCACGAUGAAAAAUCAAUUUUUCAGUUUUAUAUUGAUGGAAAAGAUUAUGCGGCGCCAUCUAGUUGAUAACAUUGAACGGUUCUUUGAGCCACUGUGUCCAUAAAAUUGGCAGAAUGUUACUUAUUCCUCGGUCCAACUCGAAUAUGCUCAAGUUCAGCCCGCAAUCGAAAAAUAUUUGUUUUGCCGCGCCCGAUAACGAUGUUUUUCGCGAGAUAAUGCGCCCGAGGGCCGAGAUAACUGCGCCGAAAUGAAAACAAGCUGUAAAAACGCCAUUUAUUUACAUCUUCCACGGCACGACGCGGAAAACGAGACGACAGAAAGAUAGCGCGAUCACAGACCGGAGAACUCGGCCGGCCU
This is a long non-coding RNA of Cylas formicarius (sweet potato weevil), 1409 nucleotides long. RefSeq lists it as uncharacterized. The transcript is spliced from 3 exons. The record is from RefSeq and is a predicted model, not a curated record. NCBI's taxonomy places the organism in Eukaryota, Metazoa, Arthropoda, Insecta, Coleoptera, Brentidae.